AGUGAACGCUGGCGGUAGGCCUAACACAUGCAAGUCGAACGGCAGCACAGGAGAGCUUGCUCUCUGGGUGGCGAGUGGCGGACGGGUGAGGAAUACAUCGGAAUCUACUUUUACGUGGGGGCUAACGUAGGGAAACUUACGCUAAUACCGCAUACGACCUACGGGUGAAAGCAGGGGAUCUUCGGACCUUGCGCGAUUGAAUGAGCCGAUGUCGGAUUAGCGAGUUGGCGGGGUAAAGGCCCACCCAGGCGGCGAUCCGUAGCUGGUCUGUGAGGAUGAUGCGCCACACUGGAACUGAGACGCGGUGCAGACUCCUACGGGAGGCAGCAGUGGGGAAUAUUGGACAAUGGGCGCAAGCCUGAUUCAGCCAUACCGCGUGGGUGAAGAAGGCCUUCGGGUUGUAAAGCCCUUUUGUUGGGAAAGAAAUCCAGCUGGUUAAUACCCGGUUGGGAUGACGGUACCCAAAGAAUAAGCACCGGCUAACUUCGUGCCAGCCGCCGCCGUAA
RNAcentral lists this ribosomal RNA (506 nucleotides) under uncultured bacterium. RNAcentral's name for it is "partial 16S ribosomal RNA". It matches the Rfam family "Bacterial small subunit ribosomal RNA", at positions 29 to 523 of the family's 1533-position model. The record is from RNAcentral.